This 194-nucleotide ribosomal RNA is filed under the name uncultured bacterium. RNAcentral's name for it is "partial 16S ribosomal RNA". It matches the Rfam family "Bacterial small subunit ribosomal RNA", at positions 338 to 524 of the family's 1533-position model. The record is from RNAcentral.
CCUACGGGAGGCAGCAGUGGGGAAUAUUGGACAAUGGGCGAAAGCCUGAUCCAGCCAUGCCGCGUGUGUGAAGAAGGUCUUCGGAUUGUAAAGCACUUUAAGUUGGGAGGAAGGGCAGUCAGUUAAUACCUUGCUGUCUUGACGUUACCAACAGAAUAAGCACCGGCUAACUUCGUGCCAGCAGCCGCGGUAAU